GCAACAAUGGCGGCCAUAGCUCGAUUCCAAUUCCUCCAACCAUAUCCAAUCUCCAAACCCUCAGCAUUUUUCUCAAAAAUUCGUCAAACCUCACCGUCUUUCUCCAGCUUCAGCAGCACCAAGCCUUGCCGGAUUCAUUUCCGUAAGUUCUCCGUCACAUCACCACUCUGCUCCAGCUCCGGCUCAAUUCCCGAGUUUCCCGAAAGUUCUGAAUCAAGUACGUCAAUUGUUGGUGACCUGUUGGACUAUCUGAAUGAAUCAUGGACUCAGUUUCAUGCUACAGCUGAAGCAAAAAGACAAUUAAUU
This 306-nucleotide unclassified non-coding RNA is filed under the name Hevea brasiliensis (rubber tree). The record is from RNAcentral. Lineage: Eukaryota; Viridiplantae; Streptophyta; Magnoliopsida; Malpighiales; Euphorbiaceae.